CGGUGGAGUGAUUUGUCUGGUUAAUUCCGUUAACGCACGAGACCUUGACAUGCUAACUAGCGUCACACUGCUGCUGCUGUUGUGUGGCAGACUUCUUACGGGGACUUUGUGUGCCCAGCAUGAGGAAGCGUGAGGCAGUGACA
Molecule: ribosomal RNA, 143 nt
Filed under: uncultured eukaryote
Lineage: Eukaryota
Description: partial 18S ribosomal RNA
Rfam family: Eukaryotic small subunit ribosomal RNA
Source: RNAcentral